Molecule: long non-coding RNA, 860 nt
Organism: Camelus dromedarius (Arabian camel)
Lineage: Eukaryota; Metazoa; Chordata; Mammalia; Artiodactyla; Camelidae
Exons: 4
Source: RefSeq, a predicted model, not a curated record
ACACAUUUGGCGAUAAAACAGACACUGAGCAGUAGGAUGGAGACCCCAGCAACAGUCCAUAAGAACACCUGGGAAGAGAAGCAUCCGUUCUCUGCAGAAAGACACAAACAUGGAUUUCCUUUCUUGCAUAAGGAGGACAAGGGAGUUUACUGGGCAACAAGUCCAUCGCCUCGCUCCACAAAACAACAAAAUGGGGAAAUGAUGAAAUGCUCUUGAACAGUCUACGUGGAUUUAUAUGUCUUUCAUCAAGUGCUGACUACUAGGCUGUUUUAUCGCUCCGCCUCAUGCCCCGCCUCACGCAGUGUGACUACGCACUGUGGACCGCAGCUCAGUCUCUCACAUCGUAACGCUUCUGAAGCUUCAGAGACUCAGUGCACAUUUUUUGGCUCAGUGAUACACAGCCAAGGGUUAACAUCAAUAUUUGGCUUGAGCCUUCAGAAAAUAACAUUCUGGGAUAUAAAAUAAAUCUAAAAUGUCAUCUGAAAGCAAUUAUUUUCAUUGUAACUUAAUAUUGAAACCUUAUUAGGUAAAUGUAACGCAGGGACAUUACAGGGUGGGAACAUUAGUUACUCGUCAGAGCAGGUGGUACUUUCUUGUGGUCACUAUGCUGCAGAUUUUCCAUAUGAGACAAACACUUCAUUGUGGGGGAGCAGAGAACCACAUAUGUUUGGAUAUUUCACUUUUCUUUAAUCCUUUCUUAUUCAUACUCUUUAACAACAGCCAAGCAUACUUACUGUAACAAAUAUGAUUUUUCAUGAAUUUUGUUGAACAAGAUUCUGGAAUUUUUCUCCCUUAAUGAAAUUUUGAAGUGGCAAAAUGGAUAUUCUGCUGUUAAUUUAUCUUUGUAAGAUGUGAACAAU